CAGCCGCCGCGGUAAUACGAAGGGUGCAAGCGUUACUCGGAAUUACUGGGCGUAAAGCGUGCGUAGGUGGUGGUUUAAGUCCGUUGUGAAAGCCCUUGGCUCAACCUGGGAAUUGCAGUGGAUACUGGGUCACUAGGGUGUGGUAGAGGAUAGUGGGAUUUCCGGUGUAGCGGUGAAAUGCGUAGAGAUCGGAAGGAACAUCUGUGGCGAAGGCGACUAUCUGGGCCAACACUGACACUGAGGCACGAAAGCGUGGGGAGCAAACAGGAUUAGAUACCCGAGUAGUCCCUGUCUCUUAUAC
This 301-nucleotide ribosomal RNA is filed under the name uncultured bacterium. Its description in RNAcentral is "partial 16S ribosomal RNA". It matches the Rfam family "Bacterial small subunit ribosomal RNA", at positions 509 to 807 of the family's 1533-position model. The record is from RNAcentral.